This 498-nucleotide ribosomal RNA is filed under the name uncultured bacterium. RNAcentral describes it as "partial 16S ribosomal RNA". It matches the Rfam family "Bacterial small subunit ribosomal RNA", at positions 28 to 507 of the family's 1533-position model. The record is from RNAcentral.
GACGAACGCUGGCGGCGUGCCUAAUACAUGCAAGUCGAACGAGAGCGACCGGUGCUUGCACUGGUCAAUCUAGUGGCGAACGGGUGAGUAACACGUGGGUAACCUGCUCAUCAGAGGGGGAUAACAUCCGGAAACGGAUGCUAAAACCGCAUAGGUCUUCGAGCCGCAUGGCUUGAAGAGGAAAAGAGGCGCAAGCUUCUGCUGAUGGAUGGACCCGCGGUGCAUUAGCUAGUUGGUGAGGUAACGGCUCACCAAGGCCGUGAUGCAUAGCCGACCUGAGAGGGUGAUCGGCCACAUUGGGACUGAGACACGGCCCAAACUCCUACGGGAGGCAGCAGUAGGGAAUCUUCCGCAAUGGACGCAAGUCUGACGGAGCAACGCCGCGUGAGUGAAGAAGGUUUUCGGAUCGUAAAACUCUGUCGUUAGAGAAGAACAAGUGCUAGAGUAACUGUUAGCGCCUUGACGGUAUCUAACCAGAAAGCCACGACUAACUACGUG